GGGCAGCCUGGUCUGCUGGUUGGUGACACUGCACAUAGCAGGGGGUCUUUGUGGUCCUUUUCAACCCAGGCCAUUCAAUGAUUAUUCUAUGAUCUAUUUGACAGGUGCGUGCUGAGGAAAUACAGAACCAAGGGAGAAAUCAGAGGAAAAAAGCAUCCAGUCUUUAUGUACUGAAUAGAAAGCAAAAGAGCAAAGGUUCCUACCAUAGUUUUGAAGAGUCAAGAGCUUUACAUGGUUUCCAAGCUUGUUGAUGGUCCCUAUCAGUAGGAGCAACACAUAUUUAGAAAUCAGUAGCGACUGUCUUAAAAACCAAUGAAGUUAAUUCAAUUAUUUUGCUACAGACUUUUGUAAAAUGAAACAAAGCCUUGAUGACAAAUGAGCUGAUGGCAUUAACAGUGAGAGCAGCGUGCUUUCCAUGACUUACAAAGGAUAGCUUUGCUGCUCUAAGACGUUUACAACCGGAGAUCUCUUAUCCAAAACUUCCUACCUUUCUAGUGCUUGUGUUGAAAGCAACAGGAUUUCAAAUCUGAUCAUUAUGCCCUAAGUGCAGGUCUCAGAUAAAGCAGUACUAUCAUAUUUUAGGCUUUUGUGACUUUUUUUUUUACUUGCCUCAGUGACAUGUACUAUAGACUGAAUGAGUACUUGCAAAAGACAUAUAAAUUUUGGCACCUGUUCCUCUAUUAAAUUACUACUUCCUCCCUCAGUCUGCAAAGGAAGUUUAAAAGAAGCAAGGCAAGCACAAUAGAAGCAACAUAAAGGGUCGAGCACUAAAGAGUCCAGUGGCAUUUCCCACUGAGCAAACAGGCUCAUUAAACAUCAUUAAAUAUCUGGUGACAUUUCCCACAGCCAAACACUACCAGCAGCAGCUGUCUUGCCCUGGCCAGCAGCAGCACAGUGGGACAGGACCCACCACGUGCCAACAAGCACCGGAUUCACUGCCCCCUAACACAUCUGUCCAUGAACAGCUUUAUAUCCCAUCUGGGGUGCACCCCACAGUAACACAAGUGUGGGGUCUGAAAAGUCAUGUUUUUUUUUUUCCUUGUUGUUAACUCAAUAUUGCUAUUAACAUCCUUCAGAGCAGAAGUCAGUAGAAAGAGGUGAGCGUCCACCCCAUAUGGAACCUUCUGGAAGGGCAGACAGUUCUAGAAAGCCCCACCAACACCCCCGGGUGACAUGCACAGCCAACACUUGCGUUGGAAACACCUGUGAUGGGAAAUCAAGCACCCCUGGGACAACACCAGGCCAUUCUGAGAGAAACGUGGGUACCGUCACGACAUCUGUGAGGAGGGAGCCUCAGAAGCAGCUAUGAUUACCUUUGCUGGAGGUGCUCAGACAGCAGCCCACCACCUUCCGCCGCGACCCGCUCCGCCUCACGGCCCUGCCGGUGCGGCACUUCCCGCCCGCGCGCCACUUGUUGGCCACACGGGGGCGGUCAGGUGCAGAAAAUGGUGCUGUUUCUUACGGAGUGAAGCUGGUAAACCGUGAAGGGAGAAAAAAAAUCACUGCAGUUUUAAUUUAGAGAAGUUUGUUAGAGAAAAAAAGGAGCUCGUGGGAGGAAAGUAUGAAAAGGUUUUAGAGCGAUGAAGACAAAGUUCUGCAUAAAAUCUGAUCCUCAGCCAGAGUGGCAGCUGUGAGCAGAGGUGACCUUCCUGAGGAGAAUUUCUCUGCUGCGAAGGAGGCAGCUGCUUUGUGCAGGGAGGAAACCUUAUCAACAAAGCCUAAAACUUUGAUUUUGUCCGGAAAAGACAGUGGGCGAAUGGCAGUAAGCCUCCUUGAGACAUCUGAUGGAGGGCUGGAAGGAGCUCAGCCACCCGUGAGCGCUGCCAGCCUCACGCAGCCAAAUGCCACCUGUGUCUGGGCAGCACGGCCUCAGGGCUCGUCAGCACAGCUGCUGGUGGGAGCUCUGAAAAUUAUGGCCUUGUGUUUUCGAUCUAGAUGUAGAAUUGGUGGUACGUUUCUAUGACUGUUACUUUGGUCAGAUCUGUUUUGCUGAAUGCCAUCUCAAUGGGUUGACAGAUAUUCUAGGAGGAGAUGGAACUCGGGAUGAUGACAGAAAACACACGAAGGAGGCUGGCGUGGUUGAUUGUGCCUUAUCAUAAUGGCCUUUCCUCUUGCACAGCCAAGAUAACGCGUGUCCCUGCUGCUCAGAGACCACUCACUGCAGCUGUAAUGUUAAACAGGUUCCAAAGGGCAAUCCUGAACUUCUUACAGCCCAAGAACUCCAGGUUAAAGAACUGAACUUCCUGAAUAUUUAAAGUAAUUGGAAAAAGUGGAUCAAAAGUUAAAA
This is a non-coding RNA of Meleagris gallopavo (turkey), 2287 nucleotides long. The record is from RefSeq and is a predicted model, not a curated record. NCBI's taxonomy places the organism in Eukaryota, Metazoa, Chordata, Aves, Galliformes, Phasianidae.